This 2555-nucleotide small RNA is filed under the name Rattus norvegicus (Norway rat). RNAcentral describes it as "uncharacterized LOC108351756". The record is from RNAcentral. Lineage: Eukaryota; Metazoa; Chordata; Mammalia; Rodentia; Muridae.
GAAGUCAGAGGAUAACGCGUGGGAAUUGGCUUUCUCCGUCCACCAUGUGGGUUCUUGUGAUCCAACUCAAGUCAUCAGGCAAGCACUUUUACCUGCUGAACUGCCUCGCCAACUCUGCCCGGCACCUCUUAAGACAGAGGCCAUAGCAGAAGAGCAACAUCUGAGACAGCCACCUGAGUUAUGGUCUCGGAUAACUUGGAUCGGGUGACAAAGAAGGAGGUAUAUCUGAGGCUUCCAAGACUGGGCCAAGUGGAAUUAGGUGAAAGACAACUUGAUGAGAAAACCACAUUGCCCAUUGAGAGAGAUACAGCAUGGACACUGUGAAUGACAGCUAUUAACCAAAGCAAGGAACAAGGAAUGAUCACAUUUCAAAUACCAUGCUCUAUGGGAGAGGAGGGGUGGAAUGGAGGAGAGGCAACGAAGAUGCGAAGACAAGAGGUGUCUGUGGAUGAGAAGACUGUGUUUCUAAGGUCAGAAGCCAUGGUAUAGACACGAUGCCCCGAGAGCAGUUGUGGCCAGGUGAGGAAACGGAAGAAUGCACAAGUAGGUCAUGAGUCCCCCAAGUAGAAGCGGAGGAGGUUUGGCAGCUGGCUCAUGGUGCUGGUUACAGGGGAAGGGGUGGCCAUUGCAAUAUUAAAUCAUGGUAUAUGAGUGCAUUGUAUAGAUGAGCCAAGGACAUGAUGUCCGGGCAGUAUUUAAGAAAUUAAUGCCAUAUGUCAGUCAUAGAUCUUGCCAAUCUUUUAUCUGCCUUUCUUUCCACUACUAGCCUUAGAUAGAAGAGAAAUAAAAAGGAAACUGAGUAUUUCUACAGUUCAGCCUACACUCCUGCCCAUCUUAUACAUACAUCAUUCUUUCUUCUAUUAUCUUUCUUUUUUUUGUUGUUUUUGACAGGCUUUUGCUAUGUACUCCAGGCUGCACUCAAACCUGUGGCAAUCCUCUCGGGAUUUACAGCAGUGUGCCAGCAGGUUUCCUUCCUAAUUAAGGUUGUUUGUUUCAAUUUUAAGUCCCUCUUAUCUGUCUUUGUCUCUUCUCUUCUCUUCUCUCCCCUCCCCGCCCUCCUGUCUUUGUUACCUAGGAUGAUUUUGACUUUCUGAACUCAGGUUGAUCCUCCUGCAUCAGCGUUCCCAGUAGCUAGGAUUGCAGGCUUAGGCCACUGUGCUCAGCUUCUUUUCCAUAUCUUCCUUCCUUUUUCCUCCUUCUUUCCAGUCUUAGAUUAUAGAGACCACAAUUAACUAUUUAAAUACAGUGUCGAUCCAUUUCUCAUUUCAAUUGCAUCUUCAUAAUAGUAAUUACAAUGGUCUAGCUUGACUAAUGGAUUUUAUGUGUUUAUGAAGAAACACAUUCAAGGAUAUUUAAAGCAAUGCAUUUCUGGGUAUGGACUUUAAGACAACUUAGGAGUUUGCAUGAGAAAGAUGGGGAAGAAGCUAUGGGGUUCUUCGGGGCUACCAUCAGUGUGCUGACCUGUACAGACUGACCACCCAACAAGGAUCCUUUGAAGCACAUGAGUCAGUAAGGACAUGAAAUAAACACACUGGGGAAGUCUAAGGUUUACAAGGAGGUAAGCUAAUGAUAAAAUGACUCAACUCAAGUAUUAAAGUGAAUAUGCGUUUUAGGGGAAAGUAAAUGUGCUAAAGGAAGGGGGAAAGAACAAAGGGACAGAACGCUAAUGUGUUUGCAAGUAUCAGCAACGAUGAUACCCCAUAAAUGCAAUGGUCAUGGCUCUCUGUCCUUGAGGUCCUGACAAGCAGAUACAUAGGUAGCAGAAGCAGGGGCUUGUUCAAGUAUUUGUGACUGGCCUGGUAUGAGUGAAGUGUUAUUUCCAUAGAAACACGGGCUCUCAAUGUUUCCUAAACAGGACUAUUUGAUGUGGGUCAGUACACACUCUCUAUUGAGUGACAGGCUUCCUGGGAAAUAGUUGUGAAUGUGGCCGUGCUCGUUCAUGCUGGAGGGCUGACCGCUGAGACUCAAGGAGUGGCCGUCAUUCAGAAAGACAUCAAAUACUUCAAAGACUUUUUUUUAAAGCAUUCUUUGGGGGAAUAACUUUAAAUCUGUACCGUUAUAGUAUUCAGAACUCUUCUUGUCUACAGUGGCCUUUGCUUCUCCUGGAAGGGGCUAAGUCAUCAUUUUACGUGUUUCAAGAUGAGAAGUCUGCAACUCAAGGCAGUUCAGGGUCCCAGGGCCACAGAAGUGAGCAGCCCUGGUCCAGAAAGUGCCAGUGGAAGGGCUGGCUGACUCCUGUGUCCUCUACGUGAGAAUAGACAACUGACUAAGCUAUGUCUCUUUUUGCUUUAAGUUCUAGAAAGUUCAAGUUCAGAUUUAAAACACCCAGGAAAGACUUGAUUUGCUCUUAAGGCUUCCACACUUGGGUUCUCGGUUUUUUGUUCCUGAUGGUCCUGGAUAUUUUUUUUUCCUCCAUGUUGCUACAGGCUACAUUUAGUCAUCGGUAGAAUAGGUGUGUGAUAAAUGCAUAAACUUCACAAGAAUUUUAAAAACCCACAAUACUAACAGCAUAUUUCUCCAGAAAGAUCCAGUAAUUAGCUUUUGUAGACUUUUUU